Molecule: long non-coding RNA, 898 nt
Organism: Pocillopora damicornis (cauliflower coral)
Lineage: Eukaryota; Metazoa; Cnidaria; Anthozoa; Scleractinia; Pocilloporidae
Source: RefSeq, a predicted model, not a curated record
CGUCUCAAGUAAUUCCAUUGCCUUCCUUUGGCUUGAUUUUAGUCUGGAAGGGAAGGGACCCCUUCCCCUUAAUAUGUCAACAGAAGUGUGUGUUUUUCUAUGAAACUCUUGGAGUAGAGGAGAGAAUAUGAUAAUUCAGUAGGAGGUAUCAAAACACCAGGAAAAGGAAAUUGUCUCUUUCACAUGAAUCAAUGCCCGGCCCGGCUGUGAAACAGUGGGCUUGUGAUUCAAUCAUUGGACUCACAGAUGCAACACAACCAUGGCGAGCAAACCAAAGCCACCAACGGACUCAGCAGUAGCCACGACCUUUAUCCCGUAAACAUUAAACCUCCAAUAAUGAUACUUUUUUUAGAUCCCAUGAUAUUUGGGUGUUGGCAUUGAUGGGAUAUGGCAAUCGACUACACGAUUGUACAGAAUUUUCUAUCUUUGCCUUGUUAAGAAAAUACAAUGAAAUGGAUUUCAGAGAACUGCCCCGGCUAAUAACAGAACGUAUUUCUUAACGAGUAUUUCAGAAUUACUGUGCAGUUUCUGUUUAAUUAAUGCUUAGGGUGUGUUUUCGGGAAUGCAUUUGGCUUAAAAAUUAUCUUUCCACGUCUAACAUUUAGUAAGAGUGCGUGUAAAUUUUGUCUCGAAUCUCUCCAAUUACGUGGACUGAUUAACUCUUCGCAACUCUUCAAAUCAGUAACAUGAAAAACUAAGUAGGGUUUGCCCACAUUCACUUAAGAGUUUAACCAAUCAGGUAUUGUCAAAUUUAUGGUUUCAAGUCAACAGAAGAAGGGCUAAUUCCCUCCGAAUCUUUAACGUGUGAAAACGUUUGAGAAAUGUCUUGAAAGGACAUUUGGUUGUUUCUCAGGCUGCGUAUGAAAAUAAAUUGACAUCUGAUCUACUGAGAAAGUGA